This 68-nucleotide unclassified non-coding RNA is filed under the name Pseudomonas mandelii. Lineage: Bacteria; Pseudomonadati; Pseudomonadota; Gammaproteobacteria; Pseudomonadales; Pseudomonadaceae. The record is from RNAcentral.
AAAAAUCGCAGCCUUGGGCCGCUACAGGUGUCAAUACAUCCCUGUAGCGGCCCAAGGCUGCGAUCUUU